This 500-nucleotide ribosomal RNA is filed under the name uncultured bacterium. RNAcentral describes it as "partial 16S ribosomal RNA". It matches the Rfam family "Bacterial small subunit ribosomal RNA", at positions 29 to 523 of the family's 1533-position model. The record is from RNAcentral.
AUUGAACGCUGGCGGCAUGCCUUACACAUGCAAGUCGAACGGCAGCACGGGAGCAAUCCUGGUGGCGAGUGGCGAACGGGUGAGUAAUGUAUCGGAACGUGCCCAGUCGUGGGGGAUAACGUAGCGAAAGCUACGCUAAUACCGCAUACGAUCUGUGGAUGAAAGCGGGGGACCGUAAGGCCUCGCGCGAUUGGAGCGGCCGAUAUCAGAUUAGGUAGUUGGUGAGGUAAAGGCCUACCAAGCCGACGAUCUGUAGCUGGUCUGAGAGGACGGUCAGCCACACUGGGACGGAGACACAGUCCGGACUCCUACGGGAGGCAGCAGUGGGGAAUGUUGGACAAUGGGCGAAAGCCUGAUCCAGCAAUGCCGCGUGCAGGAUGAAGGCCUUCGGGUUGUAAACUGCUUUUGUACGGAACGAAAAGCCCCGGGUUAAUACCCUGGGGUCAUGACGGUACCGUAAGAAUAAGCACCGGCUAACUACGUGCCAGCCGCCGCCGUAA